RNAcentral lists this ribosomal RNA (1384 nucleotides) under metagenome. Its description in RNAcentral is "bacterial SSU rRNA". It matches the Rfam family "Bacterial small subunit ribosomal RNA". The record is from RNAcentral.
CGCAAGGCGGAUAGUGGCAAACGAGUUAGUAACACGUGGAUUACCAGCCCCUGCCACGGCCAUAGCUCAUUGAAAGAUGAGGUAAUAGCCGAUGGUAUCGCCGCAAGGCGAUUAAAGACGCAAGUCGGGCAGGGAUGGGUCUGCGGCCUAUCAGCUAGUUGGUAAGGUAAAGGCUUACCAAGGCUAUGACGGGUAGGCGGUGUGAGAGCAUGACCGCCGACGAUGGGACUGAGACACGGCCCAUACUCCUACGGGAGGCAGCAGUCGAGAAUAUUGGUCAAUGGGGGAAACCCUGAACCAGCGACGUCGCGUGUUCGAAGAAGCCCUUCGGGGUGUAAAGAACUUUUCUGGGGGGAGAAUCCGCCGCAAGGCGGAUGACGGUACUCCAGGAAUAAGGGGGGGCAAACUCUGUGCCAGCAGCAGCGGUAAUACAGAGCCCCCAAGCGUUAUCCGGAUUUAUUGGGCGUAGAGAGUCUGUAGAUGGUAUGAAAAGUCUUCGGUUAAAGCUCCAGGGCUCAACCUUGGAAAUGCUGAAGAUACUUUCAAACUAGAGGGCGUUAGGGGUUGGUGGAACGGUCGGUGUAGGGGUGAAAUCCGUUAUAUCGACCGGAAUCCUAAAAGCGAAGGCAUCCAACUGGAGCGACCCUGACAUUGAGAGACGAAAGCGUGGGGAUCAAAAAGGAUUAGAUACCCUUGUAGUCCACGCUGUAAACGAUGGAUACUAGCUAUUUGAAGUGUCGACCCUUCAAGUGGCGAAGCUAACGCGUUAAGUAUCCCGCCUGGGAAGUACGGCCGCAAGGCUAAAACUCAAAGGAAUAGACGGGGAUUCACACAAGCGGUGGACCAUGUGGCUUAAUUCGACAACAAGCGAGGAACCUUACCAGGGCUUGACAUUCUAGUGAAAAUCCUGAGAAAUCAGGACCUUCUCACAAGGACACUAGUUCAGGUGCUGCAUGGUUGUCGUCAGCAUGUAUCUUGAGACGCACGCUUAAAUGCGGUAACAUGCGCAACCCUUAUCGUUUGUUUUAUUUGUCAAACGAAACUGCCUGGGACAACCAGGAGGAAGGUGAGGAUGACGCCAAAUCAGCACGGCCCUUUGAUGCCCUGGGCCGCACACGUGGUACAAUGGGGCUGACAAUGGGAUGCAAAGCGGUAACGCGGAGCUAAUCUCAUCAAACGGCCUCUCAGUCCGGAUUGAGGUCUGAAACCCGACCUCAUGAAGCUGGAAUCGCUAGUAAUCGCCAAUCAGCUAUGUGGCGAUGAAUACGUUCCUGAAUCUUGUACUCACCGCCCGUCACAUUAGGGAAGCCGGCAAUAGUCGAAGUUCCCGCAUUAGCGGGGCCUAAGCUAAGGUCGGUAACAAGAAUGAAGUCGUAACAAGGCA